This 406-nucleotide ribosomal RNA is filed under the name uncultured bacterium. RNAcentral's name for it is "partial 16S ribosomal RNA". It matches the Rfam family "Bacterial small subunit ribosomal RNA", at positions 30 to 526 of the family's 1533-position model. The record is from RNAcentral.
AUUGAACGCUGGCGGCAGGCCUAACACAUGCAAGUCGAGCGAGCGGCGGACGGGUGAGUAAUGUCUGGGAAACUGACUGAUGGAGGGGGAUAACUACUGGAAACGGUAGCUAAUACCGCAUACCAUCAGAUGUGCCCAGAUGGGAUUAGCUAGUAGGGGGGGUAACGGCUCACCUAGGCGACGAUCCCUAGCUGGUCUGAGAGGAUGACCAGCCACACUGGAACGGAGACACGGUCCAGACUCCUACGGGAGGCAGCAGUGGGGAAUAUUGCACAAUGGGCGCAAGCCUGAUACAGCCAUGCCGCGUGUGUGAAGAAGGCCUUCGGUUUUUAAACCACUUUCAGCGGGGAGGCGUUACCCGCAGAAGAAGCACCGGCUAACUCCGUGCCAGCAGCCGCGGUAAUUC